GAUGAACGCUGGCGGCGUGCCUAAUACAUGCAAGUCGAGCGAACAGACGAGGAGCUUGCUCCUUUGACGUUAGCGGCGGACGGGUGAGUAACACGUGGAUAACCUACCUAUAAGACUGGGAUAACUUCGGGAAACCGGAGCUAAUACCGGAUAACAUGUUGAACCGCAUGGUUCAACAGUGAAAGACGGUCUUGCUGUCACUUAUAGAUGGAUCCGCGCCGCAUUAGCUAGUUGGUAAGGUAACGGCUUACCAAGGCAACGAUGCGUAGCCGACCUGAGAGGGUGAUCGGCCACACUGGAACUGAGACACGGUCCAGACUCCUACGGGAGGCAGCAGUAGGGAAUCUUCCGCAAUGGGCGAAAGCCUGACGGAGCAACGCCGCGUGAGUGAAGAAGGUCUUCGGAUCGUAAAACUCUGUUAUUAGGGAAGAACAAAUGUGUAAGUAACUAUGCACGUCUUGACGGUACCUAAGCAGAAAGCCACGGCUAACUACGU
Molecule: ribosomal RNA, 496 nt
Filed under: uncultured bacterium
Lineage: Bacteria
Description: partial 16S ribosomal RNA
Rfam family: Bacterial small subunit ribosomal RNA
Source: RNAcentral